Molecule: long non-coding RNA, 6183 nt
Organism: Peromyscus californicus insignis
Lineage: Eukaryota; Metazoa; Chordata; Mammalia; Rodentia; Cricetidae
Exons: 3
Source: RefSeq, a predicted model, not a curated record
UAGAUGUUGUUUCUGUCUAUCUCAUUUCACCUACUUUCUUUCCAAGAAUCAAAAUGUUCCAGCUUUCUCAGCACCGCGCCCUCAUUUCCGAAGCCCACAUACGCCGCCACACAUCCUGGAGACGGGCAGCGUGCUCAUUAUAUUUUAACAAACACAUUAUUUUACAUUCAUAAUACCGAUAUUUUAGUCAACAGAAAGUUUGUUUUGAUUUCUCUGCUUCACAGAGUGAAGACUUAUGAUGUGCGUUCCCUUUCAAAACUUCCUCCCGGAGCAUCAAGGCUCCCUGAAGCAGCCCCGUUUUGGCAGAGAUUCAGUUCUGUGCAGGGCCAAAAGGAAUAGAAUAAACAAGCACUGCUCCAUGCAGCUGGCGAGAUCAUUUACAUAUUACUGCACACCAAACAUGAAGACCUGAAUAUGGAUCAGAGCUACGGUGGCGUUGACACAAAUGUCACAGAGAUAAAGAGAGACACAAUCCAACACAUCGCUGUUUAUUUUGCCACUGCUUCUGUAUGAGUGCCGCUAAGGAAAAAAUGGGGGAAUUGCAUUUUGAAAAUUGGCCUCCUUUCUGUAUUUGAAGUGGGUUCUUUCUAACCAUAGCGCAAGAGAAGAAGGAAGCAAAAAGGCGUGAGUGGGGCCUCUCGGAUUCUCCGGGUUUGCUUUAUCAGUUAAAACAGUUUCAAUGUCUUCAGUUUGGGAUUAGGUAGAUUAGUGAUCUUACAAAAAUGUUUUUUAAAAUGCAAAGCUGCCUGAAUUCCCAUCUAGCCCUUUCCCCAGUCUUGAUUAUUUCAGCCUAACACUGAGCUCUUUAAUUGGGUUGAGGUCCCUGGUAGGGGGUGAUGCAGGAAGUAAAGAUCCAGGAAAGAUGCUUCAGGAAGCACCGUGCAGUGGGCAGGAGUCGCCUAGCAGCCUUAGCUGAUGUGCUUUGGUCCUUGUUUCUGCACAUGAAGCUUGUGACUUCCAGUUGACUCUUUUUGACCUCAGCAAGAGGUGUCCUAGAAAAGAGGAGAUUCCUCUCUGGAUAUGCAUUGCUGCAACUUCUUUUCCCCCAUUCCCAUCCUUGGGAAAGACAAGAGUUGUAAGAACAUCCUGAGUGAGGAAACUCAGACUCAGAAGGACAAACAAGAGCCUUCAUCCAGUAACUGAUGGAAGCAGAUGCAGAGAGCCGUGGCCAAGCACCAGGCCGAGCUCCAGAAGUUCAGUCAAAGAGAGAGAACAGGGAUUCUAUGAGCAAGGGGCAUCAAGACCAUGAUAGAGAAACCUACAGAGACAACUGAACUAAGCUAUUGGGAACUCAAGAACUUUGGACCGACAGCUGUAGAGCCUGCAUGGGACUGGACUGGGCCCUCUGCAUGGGGGAAACGUUGCCGGAGACUCUCAUCUCCCUGCAGUCAUGUCUAAGGCAGAGUCUCCUAAGCAGCUCAAACAGCUGCAUAAGCUCUUCAAUGGAGGACUGAGUUUCAAAACAAUGGAUGAGACUCAGGAGCCAUGUUGAACAAUGGGGACUCCUCAUCAGCAGUGUGGUGAUGAGACAUCCAGACACCAAAUGCUCCAGGGAUUUUGGAUUUGUCACCUACACCACUGUGGAAGAGUCGGAUGAAGCCAUCAAUGCAAGGCCACACAAGGUGGAUGGAAGAGUUGUGGAGCCAAAGAGAGCUGUAUCCAGAGAAGAUUCACCAGGUGCCCACUUAACUGAAAAAAAGAUCUGUGUGGUUGGUAGUAAGGAAGACACUGAAGAACAUCUGUGAGAUUAUUUUAAGUGGUAUGGGAAAAUUAGAGUGGUUUAAAUCAUGACUGACAGAGACAGUAUAAAGAAGAGGGGCUCUAUUUUGUGACCUUUGAUGAGCGUGACUCCAUGGGUAAGGUUGUCAUUCAGAAAUACCACACUGUGAAUGGCCACAACUGUGAAAUAAGAAAAACCUCGUGGAAGCAGUAGAUGGCUAGUGCUUCAUCUGGCCAAAGAGGUCAAAGUGGUCCAGAAUCUUUGGUGGUGAUUAUAGAGGUGGUUUGGGUGGCAAUGACAAUUUUGAUCAUGGAAGAAGCUUCAGUGGCCAUGGUGGCUUUGGUGGCAGCUGUGGUGGUUGAGGUAGAUAUGGGGAUGGUGGGACACCUGUAAUGGACUCAAUGAUGAUGGAAAUAAUUUUGGAGGUGGGGGGAGCUAUAAUUAUUUGGGCAGUUACAACAUUCAGCCUUCAAAUUUUGGACCUACAAAAGGAGGAAACUUUGGAGGCAGGGGUUCAGGCCCUUUUGGGGUUAGAGGCCAGGAUUUGCUAAACCACAAAAGUCAUGUGUCUAUGGUGGUUCCAACAGCAGCAGCUCUGGCAGUGGCAGAAGGUUUUAAUUACUGCCAGGAAAAGUCUUUUCUUUCUUCCAAGUGAAGACAUGGAGGUGUGCAAAGGAAAGUCAUCUGCCACAGCGACACAACUAACGGCCACGCUCUUAAUCACGAUGUUUGUUUGGAAUGCUCAUGGAACUAACCUGCUUCCCUUGAGAAAUUCACUCUUCCCACUGAAACUUCCUCAGAUGCACAUCAUGUCUUAUAUUUAACUUUCAAGUAUAAUUUAAAGUAAUUUCUUUCUUCUUGCUUUCCUUCUCCACUCUUGCUCCUCUCCUUCCACCCUCCUCUUCCUGCUCCUGCCUCCUCCUUUCCUCCCCCUCCCCCACCUCUCUCUGAUCACAAGUAGAAACAAGAGAGAAGACAUAGAUAUCUAUAUGAUGCACCUUCAUAUCUUUGGAGAAAAUAGUGAAAGAUUUCUAAAAUAAAAGUAGUCAUAGGCCCCUGCUAUUGAAAGAACUUUUUGAUAUUGGGAGCCUGGCUAGAAAUAUUCCAGAGAAGGAAGCUGUUUUUGACAUGUAUAAGGAUUUUUUUUUUUAAACAACCAUCUCUCUUGUAAGUAAUUAAGUACAAGUAAUUACAUAAUUACUUGAUUAUGUAGCAGCAGUAAAAUCUUACAGGAGGUUUCUCACUUAAACUCUAGCCUUAUAAAAAUAAUUGCCACAAGUCAAAUUUAUUUUCUAAAUGCAGUAAUUCUUUCUGCAUUUAAUUUUUGCUCAUGGGGGUGGAAUCGAAGUCUAUUUUUGUUUAAUGACCAGAGCCAGAGAAAUGUAUACUUUAUUAAUAUGUCACUAUGUUCAGAUACCAAUUUAAACACUCAGGAUGAUGCUUCAGGUUACAAUGUGAGAAACUCCUAGACGGGAAAUGAAAUUAUAAGCUGAGAUGGCAUUCUAAAGAAAGUCUUCUGUCAUAAAGUUGUAAAAUCAUUAGAUCAGGGUGAGGACACUAUUACUUAAGUUAAAAAUAGCUUUUAAAAGUUCUUAGUUUUCAAAAUACAUCACCAAUAGUAAUACAGAGAAAGUGAAAAAGUAUUCAGAGAGAAAGAAAGAGAGAGAGAGAGAGAGAGAGAGAGAGAGAGAGAGAGAAAAUGGCUUUCUAUAACACCCCUUGUAAGGAGCCUGAGCAAUGUAACGUAUCAGGUUCCUUCCCUUUUAUUUCAUUCUUUCUUUCCUUUUUAAAAAGUGAGCUGGCUCAUCAUUGCAAUUUUUCUCAAGUUCUUAGAACUCUAAUUAAAAUGUGGUAAUUGGUUAUGUUACCUCAAUUACCAUGAUGCAUGGACAUUGAUGCAAAGUGACACCAAUUGAAUCCCUUGGGUGUUUUACCCUGGGGCCAUCCCAUUUAUUGUGGCCUUAUUAUUUUCAAUUAUGUGGCUAGAUGUGUUGUAUACUUUCAAGGCCAUUAAAUGUGUAUGGUUUUUCUGGACGCAAAGUUCUAUUCUCAGGAGAGCUCUGCAGGAUCAGAGCAGAAGGGAGAAAACCGUGUAUGUGAAGAUAAAACCUCAAGCCCUUGAUUCACUAAGAAUUCAAAGGUGCACUUGCUUGAAACAAGGCAUUUCAAAGGAACCUAGGUUAUUUCUGUUUAAACAUGUCUUUGAAAAGCAAGAAUGGUUUAUACUAUUAGACAACUACUGUGCCUACUAAAACAGAGAUCUCAUAACAGGUAAAACUGAUAGGAAAACAGAUGCAAAAUACUAAUUUCUUCUAUCUUUUCCAAUACUUUUACUUUUUGUUUGUUUGUUUUCAGACAAGAUCUCACCAAGAAGCACAGGCUGGCCUGGAAUGUACUGUAUAGCUCAGGCCACAGUUCUCCCAUCUUGGCCUCUGGAGGGCUAGUUUAAUAGGCCUGCACGACCAUGCACGGAAAGACAAGUUCUCUCUGUCUGUCUGUCUCUCUCUCCCUCCCUCCCCCCUUAAAUAUUUAAUUGAUUUUAGUUUCUUAAUUCAUCACACAAGUACACUGUUUUGACAUCAUUCCCUGACCUUCCUCUCCCUCCGCCCACUUCUCACGUGUCUCCACGCCCUCCUGAAUUCAUAACCUCUUUUAUAGACAAAAGUUGUCUUGCACUGUAGAUAAAGCUUUGGGCCUCUUAGCAAGGCUACGCAAAGCUGUUUUGAAUGUCUUUCAGAUGCAUAUUUUAAGAGAUCUGUCCUCAGAAUGAACAUGAAGGUAAGAGUAGUCUGAAUCUUGACAGAAUGAAGUGUUUCCCAGCGGGAACACUAUAGGCAUUGGUGGGAAGAUUUGUGUAUGGGGUAGCUUAUUCAUUCUGGGUUGUUUCAUUUCAAAGCCAAAUGUAUCCUCGGUGGUCACAAACAACUCCCAAACAUUCGCCUCAAAAAUCUUGGUGCAAAUCUGGAAAUGACCAGUGGCCACGAUGACGCAGCAUUCUGCCAGGCCAUUCUGAAAUGAUACCUGCAUCUUCUCCAGCUUUACUUUUCUGAAAUGGCAUCCUUGAACAGCUCAAAGUGGUAGAAAAAUUCUGGCUUUGUUUCUCUCCUUGCUUGGCCUGCUAUCUCUAAAUAGGUAUAACACUGGACUGGAAAACCAAGGAGGGCUUUUCUUCCAAGCAAUAAGCAAGGAUGUGGCAGAAACUUUAAGCAUGUUACUUUACAUUUAAUGAAGAAUGUUCAGGUCCAUUUCUAUGAAGUAUUUCUAAACUAAAAUCCUAUGAUAGACAAAGAGCACACUUUUGGUUAAGCGAAUGUGAUUACACUAUUCUCGGGAACCUUGGCUAUGCUUUGUAUAAUAGACAUUCUUUUAAAACACUUUUUGUGACUCAGGAUAGUUUUGAUAUAUGUUCUGUAUAUACUUAAAAAUACUGUCAUCUUUGUUGCUAUUGGAUGACAUGCUCACCCAUUUUUGUUGUAUAUAUAAGAUUAUCACCAUGCUUUGAUAUGCAAAUGGUGCACUGAAUACUAUAGUCAAUAAAAUAUGCAUAUCCAUAAUCUCAGAGUUUCUUUUGUGUAUGUGUGUGGUAAGGAUGCCAAAAACUUACUCUCUUAAUACAUUUCUUGUAGGAAAGGCAAUAUUAUUAACUGUAUUUAUGCUUUUAUACAUUACAUCUCUAGAUUAUUCACUCUACCAUAAUUGAAACUUUGCAUUCUUUGAUGGACCUCUUUCCACUGUCCCAGUCUCCUGUCCCUGUAAUCACCAUUCUGCUCUGUUUCUAUAUAUUUGCUUGUUUUCUCUGCUGCAACUUUAAGAUUCCACACACAAAUAAGAUCGCCCACUAUUUUUCUUGUGGUCUCCACUUAUUUAAUGUCAUAUGAUGGCCUCUAGUUUUCCCUCUGUUGCUGUAAAUGUCUGACUCUCCAUAUACAGGAUGAAUAUACACAGUACAACUUAUUUUUUUAUUCAUUCACCGGGAAUGAUCUCAGAUCUCAGUUUCUGUAUCUUGGCUAUGGUGGAUAAUGUUGUGAAGAAUAUGAGUAUACAGGUACCUUAAUGAGGGGAUGGCACAUACUCAGAAUAGAAACUGUGGGGUCAUACAAAAAUUCUAGUGUAGAACUUUCAUAUCAUUUCCCACAGUUGCAGCAAUCGACUUCCCACAGUAGUGAGUGGGAGAGCUUUUGUCUGUAUCCUCUUGCCUUUUUGGUAAAAGUUGGUUGAAGUGUUUUAGAUGUCAAUUAGGUCAUGUGGCUUUACAAUAACAUCCAUGUCCUUUUACGUUCAUAUUGAUUCUCUGGUCUAUCAGUUAUUGAGACGGGGUGUUGAAAUUUCUCUCCCAUACUCUGUUUUUCUUGUCUCUUCACGGGAAUAGGUUUUCUAUGUGGUAUAUUCGUAAGUUGUCCUAGACACUUAGAAAUGUCUUCUUCUCAUGGUAAAUUGGAACUCCCAUUGAGAAGAAAUGUCCU